GCAGGCUUAACACAUGCAAGUCGAGCGGAUGAAAGUAGCUUGCUACUGGAUUCAGCGGCGGACGGGUGAGUAAUGCUUAGGAAUCUGCCUAUUAGUGGGGGACAACGUUCCGAAAGGAGCGCUAAUACCGCAUACGUCCUACGGGAGAAAGCAGGGGACCUUCGGGCCUUGCGCUAAUAGAUGAGCCUAAGUCGGAUUAGCUAGUUGGUAGGGUAAAGGCCUACCAAGGCGACGAUCUGUAGCGGGUCUGAGAGGAUGAUCCGCCACACUGGGACUGAGACACGGCCCAGACUCCUACGGGAGGCAGCAGUGGGGAAUAUUGGACAAUGGGGGGAACCCUGAUCCAGCCAUGCCGUCGUGUGUGAAGAAGGCCUUUUGGUUGUAAAGCACUUUAAGCGAGGAGGAGGCUACCUAGAUUAAUACUUUAGGAUAGUGGACGUUACUCGCAGAAUAAGCACCGGCUAACUCUGUGCCACCAGCCGCGGUAAUACAGAGGGUGCGAGCGUUAAUCGGAUUUACUGGGCGUAAAGCGUGCGUAGGCGGCCAAUUAAGUCAAAUGUGAAAUCCCCGAGCUUAACAUGGAAAUUGCAUUCGAUACUGGUUGGCUAGAGUAUGGGGAGGAAGGUAGAAUUCCAGGUGUAACGGUGAAAUGCGUAGAGAUCUGGAGGAAUACCGAUGG
RNAcentral lists this ribosomal RNA (679 nucleotides) under Acinetobacter sp. AaD8a. RNAcentral describes it as "bacterial SSU rRNA". It matches the Rfam family "Bacterial small subunit ribosomal RNA", at positions 42 to 715 of the family's 1533-position model. Lineage: Bacteria; Pseudomonadati; Pseudomonadota; Gammaproteobacteria; Moraxellales; Moraxellaceae. The record is from RNAcentral.